This 497-nucleotide ribosomal RNA is filed under the name uncultured bacterium. RNAcentral describes it as "partial 16S ribosomal RNA". It matches the Rfam family "Bacterial small subunit ribosomal RNA", at positions 28 to 507 of the family's 1533-position model. The record is from RNAcentral.
GAUGAACGCUGGCGGCGUGCCUAAUACAUGCAAGUCGAGCGAACAGACGAGGAGCUUGCUCCUCUGACGUUAUCGGCGGACGGGUCAGUAACACGUGGAUAACCUACCUAUAAGACUGGGAUAACUUCGGGAAACCGGAGCUAAUACCGGAUAAUAUAUUGAACCUCAUUGUUCAAUAGUUAAAGACGGUUUUGCUGUCACUUAUAGAUGGAUCCGCGCCGCAUUAACUAGUUGGUAAGGUAACGGCUUAACAAGGCGACGAUGCGUAGCCGACCUGAGAGGGUGAUCGGCCACCCGGGAAGUGAGACACGGCCCAGACUCCUACGGGAGGCAGCAGUAGGGAAUCUUACGCAAUGGGCGAAAGCCGGACGGAGCAACGCCGCGUGAGUGAUGAAGGUCUUCGGAUCGUAAAACUCUGUUAUUAGGGAAGAACAAAUGUGUAAGUAACUAUGAACGUCUUGACGGUACCUAAUCAGAAAGCCACGGCUAACUACGUG